GACGAACGCUGGCGGCGUGCCUAAUACAUGCAAGUUGAGCGCUGAAGGUUGGUACUUGUACCAACUGGAUGAGCAGCGAACGGGUGAGUAACGCGUGGGGAAUCUGCCUUUGAGCGGGGGACAACAUUUGGAAACGAAUGCUAAUACCGCAUAAAAACUUUAAACACAAGUUUUAAGUUUGAAAGAUGCAAUUGCAUCACUCAAAGAUGAUCCCGCGUUGUAUUAGCUAGUUGGUGAGGUAAAGGCUCACCAAGGCGAUGAUACAUAGCCGACCUGAGAGGGUGAUCGGCCACAUUGGGGAGGAGACACGGCCCGAACUCCUACGGGAGGCAGCAGUAGGGAAUCUUCGGCAAUGGACGAAAGUCUGACCGAGCAACGCCGCGUGAGUGAAGAAGGGUUUCGGAUCGGAAAAAUCUGUUGGUAGAGAAGAACGUUGGUGAGAGUGGAAAGCUCAUCAAGUGACGGUAACUACCCAGAAAGGGACGGCUAACUACGUG
RNAcentral lists this ribosomal RNA (497 nucleotides) under uncultured bacterium. RNAcentral describes it as "partial 16S ribosomal RNA". It matches the Rfam family "Bacterial small subunit ribosomal RNA", at positions 28 to 507 of the family's 1533-position model. The record is from RNAcentral.